Molecule: long non-coding RNA, 2193 nt
Organism: Pan troglodytes (chimpanzee)
Lineage: Eukaryota; Metazoa; Chordata; Mammalia; Primates; Hominidae
Exons: 5
Source: RefSeq, a predicted model, not a curated record
AGACACUGCCUACUCCAGCUUCCGGAUAUAAUGGACUGCCUUUCCGCUGCACACAGGGUUCCACUUUGUUCUGAGCCCCUGUCCCUCUGUCUCUGUUUUCUUCUGUCUUUCUUCUUUCUUGCCUGUUAAACUUUUUACUUCUUAACGACCACUCCACAUGUGUCUGUGUCAUUACUCCUAAUGGCACAAAACUAAGGACUCUGGUGUUCCUGCAGUCAUGGAAGCUGCAUCACUAUUAGAAGUUGAUAUGGGAAAUGAAGUACCUCUGACUCCUUGAAAUAAAUUACAACCCUAGAGACUUUAGAAGACUGUCUAGGUUCCAGUUUUGUUAACCAGAAAAUAAGAAUGGCUUUGCCCACUAAUCAACAUCUCUUGACAAGGAGAACUGCUGGCUGAAAAUAUGAGAAGCCAGCACAUCCUGAAAGAAAUACCCUAGAUCCGCUUAACUGGAAAGGAAGCAGCUGGAAACCUAAACAGUGAUGCCACUCUGUGCUGAUACACCUGACCCUCCACCAGUGAACUGGCCCAUCUGGGGAAAUGCAAAAUGGGAGAAACUCUGAUUUCAUUUGUCCAUCUCCAGAUGAAGAUGAGUUUCAAGAGGAGACUCACUAUUCUAAGCUAACCAUUUUAAGUCCGUUCUCAUUUUGUGACAAUAAUUUAGGAGCACCAUAAAUAUAAACCACCUCUAGCCAAUGAGACAUAAGCAAGAUCAUCUGAAAUGAACUUCUGGAAAAUUUUCCUCAAUCUCAGAAGGAGAUUUAUUCCCUCCCCCUCACCAGAAUUUCCAAGGGUUUAUACCUUAAUGAAACUGUCACAAGUCCCCAAGGGGAGCCAACUGCUACUUCUAAUGGGGAGGAAUGCUUGCAUCUAUAGGUUCCACUAGGUGCCUGCUGUGUGUCAAAUAUUUUCCUAUGCAUUUCACAUGCAUUUUUAGCACUUAACCUCCAUAUCCUCAGGACUAUCUCUAGAAACAUAGAUGCUUAAGAAAAUUAUCUUUUACACAGAGCUUGCUAAACAGAGGGUGGAAAUCAGACAGCUUGAACUUAAGAAUAGAGUAAAAAUGGAUAUUAAGAUACUUGAAAUAUUGAUUAGGAAUAUGUAUUGUGUCAAAUUCUGGGGUAAAAGAGAAACAUAAAUUGAAAUUUUCAACUUUUUUUCUGUUUUUAAAACUUGAAUUAAUAAUCUGGGGUAGUAAGUUUCUUUGUUGCUGUUAAAAAAUAAAAAGAAACUAUAAGAGCACCUUUCAGUUGUACUCACAUGAAGCAAAGAUUCUCUGUAGUCCAGAGAAUUUUUGGAAUAGCUUCGAGAAGCUGCACAAAUCAAAACUGCUUUGAGGUCUUCACUACUUACAUAAAGGGGAGACACAUUUACCUUUAAUAGAAAUGGGCUUUGUGGAGAGGAAAACGAUGGAGAGAAAAUUGUCAGUUGAGCAUUAUUCACCCCUCUUGAACUCCCAGACUGAUUUUGAGCCUCUAUUUUCAUUUUGAUGUCUGCAGUCAAAAUCUAGGGAGUUUUCCAAAAUCCCUAAUAAAAUAUCGAAUAUUUGACAUCAUUACUUCCCCAAGGGUAAGAAAUAUUUUCAAUAUUUGACAUUGUGCGGUUAAACAUAUUGCUGCCUUAUGUAGAAAAGUGGGUUGAAUACUUCUCUCAUUGUUUUAGAAUUAUUUCCCCUUCUUCCAUUUGCUAUAUUUGAUCUCCAUAAUUCUGGUAUGUGUUUGGCCAUAGACUAGUGAUCAUACCACCCAGGUCUUUUGUAACAUUCAUUCCUUCAGAACUUAACAAUGGGAAAUAACACAGGUGUCAAUUGGACAGAGAGAUUUGAGGGAAACUCUCAAAUUAGAGUGAAGGUUGCAAUCUGUCUACUGUGAAGAAGCCUCAUUCUUUCUGCUCCCGUAUCAUAACACAGAGGCCUAUGUGAAGUACAUAGACUAAAAUUAGUUCAAUCUAAAGGGAUUUAUUUUUACCAAUAAAAUUGUGUUUCUUCAAAAUGCAUAACAUUGAUACAGAUUUGAGAUGCUGCCAGGUCCACCUCUCAUUAGUUUUUUUUUUGUUACUUGCAAUGAUAGAAUCCCCUUAUGUAUUGGCAGAGUGUUGUGCCAAGGCAUCUUUCUAGUUUACUUCAGGAACCUCAAGGAGUAACAAACAGUGAAGAAAAAAUAUUGAUAUUAGGAGAAUAAAGACCAGAAACUUUUU